CUUAGGCCCAAAGUAAAGAA
This 20-nucleotide non-coding RNA is filed under the name Arabidopsis thaliana (thale cress). Lineage: Eukaryota; Viridiplantae; Streptophyta; Magnoliopsida; Brassicales; Brassicaceae. The record is from RNAcentral.